Molecule: long non-coding RNA, 535 nt
Organism: Mastomys coucha (southern multimammate mouse)
Lineage: Eukaryota; Metazoa; Chordata; Mammalia; Rodentia; Muridae
Exons: 3
Source: RefSeq, a predicted model, not a curated record
CCCAACUUCAAGACAUAACAUUUAGAAAUAAUACCCCUCCCCGGAUGUGGACAUUUCAGCUCUAAAUCCAGAUUAUUGAAGGCCACCUCACAACCAUCACACGAAGUGGGCGCCUGUGUCGAUGGACUUCAGAGAUAUUGCCAGAGAUGAGAAUUAUCAGUUGCUGCUGCACAGAGCCAGGCAAUCUGCCACUUUCAAGUGCUAAUAUCUGCAGCUGCUGAGUGCAAGAAGGCCAGUUUGAAAACAAAGAAAAUGUGGGGGCUCUACAUCUGAGAUGGAGACUCCAAGUGUGAUUUCAAUUAAGCGCAUCUCAGGAAAACUCUGCCCACAAGCUCCUAAGGAGGCAGGUUGUCGGUUUGAUUAUGACAAAGAGCCUUCAGGAGUGGUAAAAGAAUCCACAAGAAAAUGACGUCCAUAUUUCAAUCUAAAUCGGGAAAUCAGAUCUGGACAGCAUUAAGAGAAGCUAUCAGCUUAGAAGCUUCACAGUUCAAAAACAUUGAGAUCUAGAGCAGCAGAAGAUUCAUUUCACACUCAA